RNAcentral lists this small RNA (66 nucleotides) under Acididesulfobacillus acetoxydans. Its description in RNAcentral is "Peptococcaceae bacterium INE non-coding RNA". The record is from RNAcentral. Lineage: Bacteria; Bacillati; Bacillota; Clostridia; Eubacteriales; Peptococcaceae.
GUUUCAAUUCCUCAUAGGCAGGCUAUCGGCUACGGAUGAUAUAGACCUGGUCUAUCCUGAAUCCGG